RNAcentral lists this ribosomal RNA (1350 nucleotides) under Lachnospiraceae bacterium. RNAcentral's name for it is "bacterial LSU rRNA". It matches the Rfam family "Bacterial large subunit ribosomal RNA", at positions 1357 to 2726 of the family's 2925-position model. The record is from RNAcentral. Lineage: Bacteria; Bacillati; Bacillota; Clostridia; Lachnospirales; Lachnospiraceae.
GGGUAAAGCUGAUCUGCCCUGGGUAAGUCGGGGCCUAAGGCAAGGACGAAAGUCGUAGUCGAUGGAGAGCUGGUGAAGAUUCCAGCACCUGAUAUGAUCAGAACUGUGGGGACACGGAAGCGAAACCGGACCCGGGAGAGCAAAGACCGGGCGAAGCGAAGUAGGAGGACGGAAGGAAAAACCGCCGUUCAAUCCGAAGGCGCGAUAGGGAGCGAAGAAAAGUAGCGAAGCCGGGAGACGAAGCCGUCGAGAAAAGCCGCUAUUGUAUCAUAUCAGCCCGUACCGAAAACCGACACAGGUGGAUGAGGAGAGAAUCCUAAGGCCGGCGGGAGAAGCAUUGUUAAGGAACUCGGCAAAAUGACCCCGUAACUUCGGGAGAAGGGGUGCUGGUGAGAACCAGCCGCAGAGAAGAGGCUCAAGCAACUGUUUAGCAAAAACACAGGUCUAUGCGAAACCGAAAGGUGAGGUAUAUGGGCUGACGCCUGCCCGGUGCUGGAAGGUUAAGAGGAGAGGUUAGCGCAAGCGAAGCUUUGAAUUUAAGCCCCAGUAAACGGCGGCCGUAACUAUAACGGUCCUAAGGUAGCGAAAUUCCUUGUCGGGUAAGUUCCGACCCGCACGAAAGGCGUAAUGAUUUGAGCGCUGUCUCAACAAUGCACCCGGUGAAAUUGAAGUGCCAGUGAAGAUGCUGGCGACCUGCGCCAGGACGGAAAGACCCCAUGGAGCUUUACUCCAGCUUGAUACCGGGAUCCGGUGUUACUCGUACAGGAUAGGUGGGAGGCGAAGAAGCGUGAACGCCAGUUUACGCAGAGCCGCUGUUGGGAUACCACCCCUGUGACACUGGGUUUCUAACCUGCGCCCGUUAGCCGGGCGGGGGACGCUGUCAGGCGGGGAGUUUGACUGGGGCGGUCGCCUCCGAAAGAGUAUCGGAGGCGCUCAAAGGUUCCCUCAGAAUGGACGGAAACCAUUCGAAGAGUGCAAAGGCAGAAGGGAGCUUAACUGCGACACCGACGGGUGGAGCAGAUACGAAAGUAGGACUUAGUGAUCCGGUGGUAUAAAGUGGGAUUGCCAUCGCUCAACGGAUAAAAGCUACCCUGGGGAUAACAGGCUUAUCACUCCCAAGAGUUCACAUCGACGGAGUGGUUUGGCACCUCGAUGUCGGCUCAUCGCAUCCUGGGGCUGAAGUCGGUCCCAAGGGUUGGGCUGUUCGCCCAUUAAAGCGGUACGCGAGCUGGGUUCAGAACGUCGUGAGACAGUUCGGUCCCUAUCCGGCGCGGGCGUAGGAUAUCUGAGAGGAGCUGUCCUUAGUACGAGAGGACCGGGAUGGACUGACCACUGGUGUACCGGUUGGGG